GUGGGGAAUAUUGGACAAUGGGCGAAAGCCUGAUCCAGCCAUGCCGCGUGUGUGAAGAAGGUCUUCGGAUUGUAAAGCACUUUAAGUUGGGAGGAAGGGCAGUAAGUUAAUACCUUGCUGUUUUGACGUUACCGACAGAAUAAGCACCGGCUAACUUCGUGCCAGCAGCCGCGGUAAUACGAAGGGUGCAAGCGUUAAUCGGAAUUACUGGGCGUAAAGCGCGCGUAGGUGGUUUUGUAAGUUGGAGGUGAAAUCCCCGGGCUCAACCUGGGAACUGCCUCCAAAACUGCAUGACUAGAGUACGGUAGAGGGUAGUGGAAUUUCCUGUGUAGCGGUGAAAUGCGUAGAUAUAGGAAGGAACACCAGUGGCGAAGGCGACUACCUGGACUGAUACCGACACUGAGGUGCGAAAGCGUGGGGAGCAAACAGGAUUAGAAACCCUAGUAGUCC
This 450-nucleotide ribosomal RNA is filed under the name uncultured bacterium. Its description in RNAcentral is "partial 16S ribosomal RNA". It matches the Rfam family "Bacterial small subunit ribosomal RNA", at positions 354 to 796 of the family's 1533-position model. The record is from RNAcentral.